AAACAUAUAUUUACUCAAGUAUUACACAAGCAAUAACAUCAUAGACUUUCAUUCACAACAAUAUCUUGAGUUGGAGAGAUAUUUAUAUAUAAUAUAUAUGGGACCAUUCUCCAUCGUGUACAGUAAGGAGGGGGUAAAUAGUCACAUACUGAGAUAUAAAUCGUAGGAUAGGGCGGCCGCGUUUUGGUUGUAUCAAACUUGGUAAGUAAGAAUACUUUUAAUUCAAAUUUUGUAGUUAUUUUACUAUAAUUAUCAGAAAACAAUCAUGUCAUAUUAUUGUUUUCUCUCUUUCUGUUUUUUUUUUUAAAUGCUGCAAGUCUACACACUAAAUUCAUGUAAAAAUUCUACAUUUUUUUUAGUAAAAUCCCAGGAAGCUAUAAUUUAAAGUCACCGUUAACAUGUGUCUUAUGUUUGAUGUUAGUUAACAGACUUUCUAUAGCUUUUACUAUAAUUUCCUCGGUUAAACUAUUAAUGACAUUAAUAUAACACAGUGUUUAACAACCAAACAUAGUUAUUUCACUGAUUUAGUUAAUAAUAAAUAUGACAUUUAACAAAACAUUAACUGCAAUAUUAACAUUACACUAAAAUACAUCCAUAAAAUUUUUUGUUUUCCUUCCAUCCAUACACAUGCAUGUAAAUGUUAAAUAUAACAUGUUUUAUAAAAGAAAAUGUUGGUAUUAAUAAGAGUAUGAAUGUAUUAUCAUUAAUACUGGGCCUUAUAGUUAUCUUUAGAUCAUGGUUUUUGAUUUUUUUAAUAUUCAUGUAUCGGACCCCUAUAAUAAGUAAUUUUUCAAAUAGUAGCCUUGUCCCACAAAACACAUUUUCAGGUUAAUCUAAGAUUCUAAUAUUUCCUCCCAAAUAACAUCUUGGAUUUAGAAUCAACAUUGUUCAGACUGUACCUGACUUGUAACAUGAUUUUCCUACCAAGGCAGACAGGGGUUACAUGUAAUUAGUAAUAUACACAUUACAUAAAUACUCACACACUGGAGUUACUGUAUACACAACACAAACUCCUCUGAAUACUCAUGUCACACACACUUUACACAACACAAACUCCUCUGAAUACUCAUGUCACACACACUUUACACAACACAAACUCCUCUGAAUACUCAUGUCACACACACUUUACACAACACAAACUCCUCUGAAUACUCAUGUCACACACACUUUACACAACACAACUCCUCUGAAUACUCAUGUCACACACACUUUACACAACACAAACUACUCUGAAUACUCAUGUCACACACACUUUACACAACACAAACUCCUCUGAAUACUCAUGUCACACACACUUUACACAACACAAACACCUCUGAAUACUCAUGUCACACACACUUUACACAACACAAACACCUCUGAAUACUCAUGUCACACACACACUUUACACAACACAAACUCAUCUGAAUACUCAUGUCACACACACUUUACACAACACAAACUCAUCUGAAUACUCAUGUCACACACACACUUUACACAACACAAACUCAUCUGAAUACUCAUGUCACACACACUUUACACAACACAAACACCUCUGAAUACUCAUGUCACACACACACUUUACACAACACAAACUCAUCUGAAUACUCAUGCCACACACACUUUACACAACACAAACUCCUCUGAAUACUCAUGUCACACACACUUUACACAACACAAACUCCUCUGAAUACUCAUGUCACACACACUUUACACAACACAAACUCCUCUGAAUACUCAUGUCACACACACAUUUGUACCUAUCAUAGCUUGUUUAUAUGAUAAGUAUAAAUACUCACCUUACCUGAUGCACCUUGAUACCUACUUUGUAACUCAUAACUCAUGUUAGACAAACUUACUGUAUACCUGACACACCUGUAUAUCUUUCUCGCAUCCUUCGAUAUGCAAUAUGGUAUUGCACGGUUAGUGGUCUAAUCACCAACUAUAAUAAAUUAUUACACAUUCCACAUCUGAAUGCAAAAAUAUAUGGUGAAAGCUGGCAUAUAUCAAAUUUGGAUAAAUAAUAAAUAAAAUAGUACUUUUUAUAAAAAUCUGUUAGCCAUUAAACAUGGCUAUAUAUGUUUAACAACAGCACUUUUAGUGUUAAAACAUCUCAAUAACAGUGAUUAUGUAAUACAUGCUGUCAGCAUCAGUAAUAACCAAGCUGGUGAUAACAGGAGAUAAGGAAGGUGACAUGCAUCCAACAAUAAUACAAACUUCAGGAUUACAUCACAGCAGUUAGAUUAAUCACCCACUAAGUUGGCAGUGUCAGAUUUCAUAAAAUCUGUUUGAUCAAAAACCAAAUAUGUUGGAAAAGGGAGAUAACUACUUCAUUUGACAAUAAAAAUAUACAGCACCAACAAAUGUUUAUUGUAGUAAAUGUCAACUGACAUAACUAGGUACUAAAAACCACUCAAAUCAGCAUUUAGCCGGCAGGAGUUUUGUGGAGAGAAAAAAGUAUGAACCAUGUUCACAAGAAAGGAAACAUAGGUCGUCAAAAGUAGGUCAAUUUAAAGGUCUGCAAAUGUAAAACUAAUGGAAAGGUCUCGUCACAAGGAACACUCAUCGGAGUAAAACUAAUGGAAAGGUCUCGUCACAAGGAACACUCAUCCGAG
Pecten maximus is the source of this 2594-nucleotide long non-coding RNA. RefSeq lists it as uncharacterized. The record is from RefSeq and is a predicted model, not a curated record. The transcript has 2 exons. NCBI's taxonomy places the organism in Eukaryota, Metazoa, Mollusca, Bivalvia, Pectinida, Pectinidae.